RNAcentral lists this ribosomal RNA (116 nucleotides) under Carlito syrichta (Philippine tarsier). Lineage: Eukaryota; Metazoa; Chordata; Mammalia; Primates; Tarsiidae. The record is from RNAcentral.
GUCUACAGUUAUUCCACCCUGAAUGUGCCAGAUCUGUUCUGAUCUUGGAAGCUAAGUAGGGUCAGACCUGGUUAGUACAUCGUUGGGAGUCUAUUUUUUUGUCAGUUAUAUACACC